Molecule: transfer RNA, 95 nt
Filed under: Phocaeicola sp.
Lineage: Bacteria; Pseudomonadati; Bacteroidota; Bacteroidia; Bacteroidales; Bacteroidaceae
Also listed under: 1 other name
Description: tRNA-Gln
Rfam family: tRNA
About the family: Transfer RNA (tRNA) molecules are approximately 80 nucleotides in length.
Source: RNAcentral
GGGGAUGUCGCCAAGCGGUAAGGCAUCGGACUUUGACUCCGACAAGGGCUGGCUUUACCACCCGCUCGUAGGUUCAAAUCCUACCAUCCCUGCCA